GACGAACGCUGGCGGCGUGCUUAACACAUGCAAGUCGAACGGUGAAGCACCUUCCUUUUGGUGGGUGUGGAUGAGUGGCGAACGGGUGAGUAACACGUGAGUAACCUGCCCCCUUCUUCUGGAUAACCGCAUGAAAGUGUGGCUAAUACGGGAUAUUCUGGGUCUGUCGCAUGGCGGGCCUGGGAAAGAUAUUGUUUCGGUGGGGGAUGGGCUCGCGGUCUAUCAGCUUGUUGGUGGGGUGAUGGCCUACCAAGGCGGUGACGGGUAGCCGGCCUGAGAGGGUGGACGGUCACACUGGGACUGAGACACGGCCCAGACUCCUACGGGAGGCAGCAGUGGGGAAUAUUGCACAAUGGGCGCAAGCCUGAUGCAGCGACGCCGCGUGAGGGAUGGAGGCCUUCGGGUUGUAAACCUCUUUCGCCAGUGAAGCAGGCCUGUCCCUUUUGUGGGCGGGUUGACGGUAGCUGGAUAAGAAGCGCCGGCUAACUACGUGC
This 494-nucleotide ribosomal RNA is filed under the name uncultured bacterium. RNAcentral's name for it is "partial 16S ribosomal RNA". It matches the Rfam family "Bacterial small subunit ribosomal RNA", at positions 28 to 508 of the family's 1533-position model. The record is from RNAcentral.